RNAcentral lists this long non-coding RNA (429 nucleotides) under Mus spicilegus (steppe mouse). RNAcentral's name for it is "lncRNA (ENSMSIG00000023146.1)". Lineage: Eukaryota; Metazoa; Chordata; Mammalia; Rodentia; Muridae. The record is from RNAcentral.
AAAAGGAAGGAGGAGUGCUCUGGGCGGGGAGUGGAGAAACAAAAAUCUGGGCGCAUUUAGAGCAUCAGGUCCUGGGGGUGUUGUUCAGCUGCAGUGCGCUCUUAAUUCAGGCGGACCCUGCCUGAGUUGAGUUUCUCAGCAGAUUGUCAGUCCCUGUUGGAGCAGACUGCCAUCUAGACCUGACUCCUGAGUUUAAAAUGCAAUGGCCAGAAGACAAGAAAGUAUCUGUGGAAGGCCGUGGACGUGGACGCCGGGACUACUGAUGCUGAUCAUCCUUGGCAUUCAUCAGGGGAGUGGGCAAGGUCAAGAAUUGGCUUUCUAAGUCAUAACCUGAAAAGUGUUGUGCUGAAUACUGAAGAAUGGAGGAGUCUUCCUGAGAGGAGCCAUGUUCUUAACAGAAAGUCAGAUGCUAAAUAUAAGCAGAUAUGG